UGGUAGGUACAACACAACCAUCUACUAGCCUAACACAUAACACACAGCUGUCUGUGCGGGUCGCUACAAUACAGAUUUGCACCCUGCUGCCUGCCGUGCCUUUAGCUAGCUAGCUACUGCUUUAGUAGGACUAGAAGUUAUAACUGUUAAAACAGUAAUGUUAACUAUAGGGUUACUUGCUUGCUGUUGAGCGACAACUGCAUAUGUAAAUUAGCCUAGUUACUUGUUGUAAAUACCAGGGCUUGUGUUCAAACUGUUGCAGGGUCUGAUGACAAUACCAGGCAUUUAAUUCAGCGGCAAACACGGCAGGAGAAAUGCCGCAAAAAAAGGUUGAGAUCUACUUUAUGAAUUGUGAGCUGAAGGGGCAACUGUCACCUGCAUGGGUGAAAAAGAAGUGGGAGAACCAUAAGUAAAAAUAUAUGGAGUUGAAAGCUCCCACGGAGUGAGGGGAGGCCACAGCCACAUCCUGGAAGUGAUAUAUGGUGAUGGAUGAGGCGCUGGGGGGCUGCCACUCCAUCACCCCAAUGGUCAUCAUCUCCCUUCCAGAAGGGUCCAGAUGUGGACGCUGGAAAAGGAGCGGGAGGUGACUGCUAGGGAAGCACGACUUAUGGACAUUUGAGGCCAUGAUUAAGAAGUAGUUUUAUGUAUUUUGUAAAGUUUGGUGAAGUACUUUUAUUUGUAUUAAUUUUUUAAAAGUGAAUUGCUGUUCUCCUCAAAGUGUUUCUAGUUGGUAAUAAAACAACAUAUUUG
Molecule: long non-coding RNA, 750 nt
Organism: Coregonus clupeaformis (lake whitefish)
Lineage: Eukaryota; Metazoa; Chordata; Actinopteri; Salmoniformes; Salmonidae
Exons: 3
Source: RefSeq, a predicted model, not a curated record